Molecule: small RNA, 734 nt
Filed under: Pan troglodytes (chimpanzee)
Lineage: Eukaryota; Metazoa; Chordata; Mammalia; Primates; Hominidae
Description: processed transcript
Source: RNAcentral
GGGUGACUGUGUGGAUUAGGCCUUGCGUGCAGAGGCUCGUCUGUUUCGGGGUGGGUGGUCCUUGUGCAGAGGCUGGUCUGUUUCAGGACCCUGAAGGAAGAUUGGGAAUCUGAAAAAGAUUUAUGUUUAGAAAAUCUACGCAAAGAAUUGUCUGCAAAGCAUCAAUCAGAAAUGGAGGAUUUACAAAACCAGUUUCAGAAAGAAUUGGCAGAACAGAGAGCUGAGUUGGAGAAGAUUUUUCAAGACAAAAACCAGGCUGAACGGGCCCUUAGGAACCUGGAGAGUCAUCAUCAAGCAGCCAUUGAGAAGUUACGUGAAGACCUGCAGUCCGAGCACGGCCGGUGUUUAGAAGACUUGGAGUUUAAGUUCAAAGAGAGCGAGAAAGAAAAACAGCUGGAGUUAGAGAAUCUUCAAGCAUCGUAUGAAGACCUGAAGGCGCAAUCACAAGAAGAGAUCAGGCGCUUGUGGUCCCAGCUUGAUUCUGCCAGGACCAGUAGACAGGAAUUGAGUGAGCUACAUGAGCAACUCCUGGCGCGCGCCUCUCGUGUGGAAGAUUUAGAACAGCUGAAGCAGCGAGAAAAAACCCAGCAUGAGUCCGAACUGGAGCAACUGAGGAUUUAUUUUGAAAAGAAGUUAAGGGAUGCUGAGAAAACUUACCAAGAAGACCUAACCCUGUUACAGCAGAGGCUGCAGGGGGCGAGGGAAGAUGCUCCUCUGGACUCUGUGGAAGUUGG